This 951-nucleotide small RNA is filed under the name Pongo abelii (Sumatran orangutan). Its description in RNAcentral is "retained intron". The record is from RNAcentral. Lineage: Eukaryota; Metazoa; Chordata; Mammalia; Primates; Hominidae.
GCAAGAAUGAAAUUAAACAGGGCUUGGCACAGUGAAGCACGGGAAAGGCUUUCUACAGAGCGGUGACUUGUUACUCGCUGUUACACCUUAGGUAAUGCGUUUUCCUCUCCGGGGGCCUCCCAUUCUCUGGUUCAAGUCCCUGCCCAGGAUCAAGCUUGGAGGAGGGCCCCGAGGGGGGUCCACAGAGACUGGGUGAAGAGCAAGGGUGUUUGUCCCAGGAGCAUGGCGAAAAUUGCUGCUGGGUGGCCUUGGGAAGCACAAAGGGGACCCAACUAAGGGCCUGAUCCUACUGCCCUGGGGGUGUCAGUGCCAGCCCCCAACAAACCUUUUCUGCCCCCCCCAGGAGGCUGACCAGUGUGUGGCCUGUGCCCACUAUAAGGACCCUCCCUUCUGCGUGGCCCGCUGCCCCAGCGGUGUGAAACCUGACCUCUCCUACAUGCCCAUCUGGAAGUUUCCAGAUGAGGAGGGCACGUGCCAGCCUUGCCCCAUCAACUGCACCCACUCCUGUGUGGACCUGGAUGACAAGGGCUGCCCCGCCGAGCAGAGAGCCAGCCCUCUGACGUCCAUCAUCUCUGCGGUGGUGGGCAUUCUGCUGGUCGUGGUCUUGGGGGUGGUCUUUGGGAUCCUCAUCAAGCGACGGCAGCAGAAGAUCCGGAAGUACACGAUGCGGAGGCUGCUGCAGGAAACGGAGGUGAGGCGGGGUGAAGGCCUCCCAGCCCGCGUGGGGUCUGCACUGGCCCCCGGCAUUGACCCACCACCCCCUCACCCCAGCUGGUGGAGCCGCUGACACCUAGCGGAGCGAUGCCCAACCAGGCGCAGAUGCGUAUCCUGAAAGAGACGGAGCUGAGGAAGGUGAAGGUGCUUGGAUCUGGCGCUUUUGGCACAGUCUACAAGGGCAUCUGGAUCCCUGAUGGGGAAAAUGUGAAAAUUCCAGUGGCCAUCAAAGUGUUG